Molecule: ribosomal RNA, 320 nt
Filed under: uncultured eukaryote
Lineage: Eukaryota
Description: partial 18S ribosomal RNA
Rfam family: Eukaryotic small subunit ribosomal RNA
Source: RNAcentral
CCCCUAGAUGUUCUGGGCCGCACGCGCGCUACACUGAACAGUUCAACAAGUCUUAACCUUGGCCGAUAGGUCUGGGUAAUCUUUGAACGCUGUUCGUGAUUGGGAUAGACCUUUGCAAUUAUGGGUCUUCAACGAGGAAUCCCUAGUAAACGCAAGUCAUCAGCUUGCAUUGAUUACGUCCCUGCCCUUUGUACACACCGCCCGUCGCACCUACCGAUUGAAUGGUCCGGUGAAAUCUCGGGACGGCGGCUCGGUCGCUUGCGUCCGACUGCUGAAACUUGAUUAAACCAUAUCAUUUAGAGGAAGGUGAAGUCGUAACA